UUUUUUGUCUUUUAAAGUAAAUUGUAACAAGGCCUCCAUGGGACAGCGGAAGGAUCAUUACCGAGUUUACAACUCCCAAACCCAUGUGAACAUACCUCUCGUUUGCUUCGGCGGGAUCGCCCCGGGCGCCUUGUGUGCCCCGGAUUCCAGGCACCCGCCGGGGGACCUUAACUCUUGUUUUAUUUAGAAAUCUUCUGAGUAGUUUUUACAAAUAAAUAAAAAACUUUCAACAAACGGAUCUCUUGGUUCUGGCAUCGAUGAAGAACGCAGCGAAAUGCGAAAAGUAAUGUGAAUUGCAGAAUUCAGUGAAUCAUCGAAUCUUUGAACGCACAUUUGCGCCCGCCAGUAUUCUGGGCGGGCAUGCCUGUCUGAGCGUCAUUUCAACCCUCAUACCCCUAGGGUGUGGUGUUGGGGAUCGGCCAAGGCCCGCAAGGGACGGCCGGCCCCUAAAUCUAGUGGCGGACCCGUCGUGGCCUCCUCUGCGAAGUAGUAAUAUUCCGCAUCGGAGAAGCGACGAGCCCCUGCCGUUAAACCCCCAACUUUCUAAGGUUGACCUCAGAUCAGGUAGGAAUACCCGCUGAACUUAAGCAUAUCAAUAAGCGGAGGAAAAGAAACCAACAGGGAUUGCCCUAGUAACGGCGAGUGAAGCGGCAACAGCUCAAAUUUGAAAUCUGGCGCAAGCCCGAGUUGUAAUUUGUAGAGGAUGUUUCUGGCGACGUGCCUUCCGAGUUCCCUGGAACGGGACGCCAUAGAGGGUGAGAGCCCCGUACGGUUGGAUGCCUAGCCUCUGUGAAACUCCUUCGACGAGUCGAGUAGUUUGGGAAAUGCUGCUCUAAAAUGGGAGGUAUACGUCUUCUAAAGCUAAAUACCGGGCCAGAGACCGAUAGCGCCACAAGUAGAGUGAUCGAAAGAUGAAAAGCACUUUUGAAAAAGAGGGUUAAAAAAGUACGUGAAAAUUGUUGAAAGGGAAGCGUUCAUGACCAGAACUUGGGGCAGGGUUGAUCAUCCCGUGGUUCUCCGCGGGUGCACUCUGCCUGCCCAGGCCAGCAUUCAGUUCGCCCCGGGGGAAUAAAGGUUUCGGGAAUGUGGCUCCCUACCGGGAGGUGUUAUAGCCCGUUGGCGUAAUACCCCUGGGACCGGAACUGAGGUUCCGCGCUUCUGCAGAUGGCUGGGAAGGUUCAUCAAACCCGUUUUAAAACGGCAAAAA
This 1207-nucleotide ribosomal RNA is filed under the name Ascomycota sp. L290. RNAcentral's name for it is "eukaryotic LSU rRNA". The stretch from base 551 to 1207 matches the Rfam family "Eukaryotic large subunit ribosomal RNA", at positions 1 to 670 of the family's 3401-position model. The record is from RNAcentral. Lineage: Eukaryota; Fungi; Ascomycota.